UGAAGAAUUCUAAGGACCUGACUCUAAGGAAUUGAUUUUACAGCAGCACUUCUCAUGUUGCCAGCCUUGUUAAGCGAGACACUUUAACAUUUUGUUGUGCUCAAGAUGACGCAGUGGGUAGUGCUGUCACCUUACAGCAAGA
Molecule: non-coding RNA, 142 nt
Organism: Danio rerio (zebrafish)
Lineage: Eukaryota; Metazoa; Chordata; Actinopteri; Cypriniformes; Danionidae
Source: RefSeq, a predicted model, not a curated record